AGUCAUGGGUUUUAUGAAUUGUUUUUGAAUGCAUGCCUACUUUAAUAUGUUAAUAGUUUGCAUAUGUAUUGACACACCCCGUCCCGAAGAAGGGCAUGCUGGCCGUCACGUGAGAGUGACGUAACCAUUUACACAGUUCGGAAGCUUUAAAAAUACAAUUACUAAGAUAUAACACCCGAGGGUGAAUCAUACUUUUGUGAAUUCUGUCAGAACACCGUUGGAUUCCUCGUGGCCACCAAAGCUCAACUAUUUAGAACCUGGAGAGGCGCAAAACAAAAUUGAGUGGUUCAGUAAAACAAAGUUUUUCGAAAACAUUUCAUUUAAAACAUUUCUAACCCCUCGCUGUAAAACCUGUAUACUUUCCCAGAAAAGUAGUAUAUAAACAUAUAUAUAUAUAUAUAUAUAUAUAUCAUCAAAAGCUCAAAUCACAAUACUUCAACGCUUUUCAGGAAGAAUAUGCCAUGCCAUGUCAUAUGCCAAAAUAUAGUAUGAAUGCAUCAAUAUAAAUCAGGCGAAAUAAUAAAUCAACCGGAGACCCUACAGUGGUCCUGUACGGCUGAUUCUAUAGCUCAAUAUCCCAUCCAGCCGGAGUCACCAACUGUGACCUGUACGGCCUUGCCGGAGUCACCACUGUGACCUGUACGGCACUACACUGCACAUAAGUCGGAACUACCUAUAGUAGUCUGUACGACUAAGAUGGUGAAAUAAUAUGCUCUAGUGCUUCUCUCAUCAAUCAUCUGUGCACAUAAUCUAAGGUCACCUACCAGUCGGAACCCCUCUAAUGGUCUAUACGACUGGCAUGUCGGAACCACCUCUAGUGGUCUGUACGACUAGCAUCUACUUGGAUACAAGAUGAGCGUGUGAUGCAGGGUGAAUAACAUAAGCACUAACACCAAGGGUGCAAGUUAUGAGCUCUCAACAUAAUUCACAUCAUCAUUCAUUCGCAUAAACCAUAUAAACUCACCGGAUACUCACCUGUGCGUCCACAACACCAAUUCACAUAUAUAUAUAAGCAUCAAUAUCAAUUCAUAUAAUUUAUGAUAUGCAUCAUGGCAAUUGAAAACAUACUUUCAUAUAAAUUCGAUUUCUGGGACAAUUAAUAGUAUAUAGGUAAUACGAAAGACAAAAACUGCCCAUCACCUGAAAUUCGCCCAACAACUCCGUAGCACCAUACAUCAAGGCGUCAUGACGAUCGCCGCCUAGAACAAUAAUCAAAUCCAACCUUAGAAAUCAUAUCGAUAGAAUUUAUAACUUAUAUAAGACACGUCACUACGGAGUUUGAUCUGGAAGGCCUGCAAAUCAGAUUUUAAAUCCAUAACUUCCAGAGGUCCACAAUAUACCUCUAGGACAUCAUCCUAAAAUUUCAUUACCAUCCAACGGUCGGAUCUCCGUCAAUUGUCAAAACUAAGUGACGGUUAACAUUCUAUUUUAUGAACUUACAACUCUAAUUCCGAAAGAUCCGUAAAUCGGAUUCCCGAUCCGUAAGUUCCUAAAAUCCUCAAAUAUUACGUAUUACAACGUAUCAAAGUUUGGUGACGAUCCAACGGUCGGAUCGUCAAUUCACAUUUUCACCUAACCACGAAUCGUAACGAACUUAGGUUCAAUUAUUCAAUUUACGUCCAUCAAUUAUCAAAACUGAACCUAGAACCUUAAACACAAGCUAAGAAUGACAUUGGCGG
RNAcentral lists this long non-coding RNA (1679 nucleotides) under Malus domestica (apple). RNAcentral's name for it is "long non-coding RNA (MDOM_LNC009294)". The record is from RNAcentral. Lineage: Eukaryota; Viridiplantae; Streptophyta; Magnoliopsida; Rosales; Rosaceae.